Molecule: ribosomal RNA, 207 nt
Filed under: uncultured Syntrophomonas sp.
Lineage: Bacteria; Bacillati; Bacillota; Clostridia; Eubacteriales; Syntrophomonadaceae
Description: partial 16S ribosomal RNA
Rfam family: Bacterial small subunit ribosomal RNA
Source: RNAcentral
CACGUAGGCGGGAACUUAAGUCAGGUGUGAAAGACCGAGGCUCAACCUCGGGGUGGCACUUGAAACUGGGUUUCUUGAGGGCAGGAGAGGAAAGCAGAAUUCCUGGUGUAGCGGUGAAAUGCGUAGAAAUCAGGAGGAAUACCAGUGGCGAAGGCGGCUUUCUGGACUGACCCUGACGCUGAGGUGCGAAAGCGUGGGUAGCAAACA